RNAcentral lists this ribosomal RNA (460 nucleotides) under uncultured bacterium. RNAcentral describes it as "partial 16S ribosomal RNA". It matches the Rfam family "Bacterial small subunit ribosomal RNA", at positions 338 to 795 of the family's 1533-position model. The record is from RNAcentral.
CCUACGGGAGACAGCAGUGAGGAAUAUUGGUCAAUGGCCGGAAGGCUGAACCAGCCAAGUCGCGUGAGGGAAUAAGGCCCUAUGGGUCGUAAACCUCUUUUGUCAGGGAGCAAAGGCGUCCACGAGUGGACGAAAGGAGAGUACCUGAAGAAAAAGCAUCGGCUAACUCCGUGCCAGCAGCCGCGGUAAUACGGAGGAUGCGAGCGUUAUCCGGAUUUAUUGGGUUUAAAGGGUGCGUAGGCGGGAUGCCAAGUCAGCGGUAAAAAUGCGGUGCUCAACGCCGUCGAGCCGUUGAAACUGGCGUUCUUGAGUGGGCGAGAAGUAUGCGGAAUGCGUGGUGUAGCGGUGAAAUGCAUAGAUAUCACGCAGAACUCCGAUUGCGAAGGCAGCAUACCGGCGCCCUACUGACGCUGAGGCACGAAAGCGUGGGUAUCGAACAGGAUUAGAUACCCGUGUAGUC